CCUACGGUGGGCUGCAGUGGGGAAUAUUGGACAAUGGGCGAAAGCCUGAUCCAGCCAUGCCGCGUGUGUGAAGAAGGCCUUCGGGUUGUAAAGCACUUUCAGUGGGGAAGAAAGCCUUGGGGCUAAUACCCUCGAGGAAGGACAUCACCCACAGAAGAAGCACCGGCUAACUCCGUGCCAGCAGCCGCGGUAAUACGGAGGGUGCGAGCGGUAAUCGGAAUUACUGGGCGUAAAGCGCGCGUAGGCGGUCUGAUAAGCCGGUUGUGAAAGCCCCGGGCUCAACCUGGGAACGGCAUCCGGAACUGUCAGGCUAGAGUGCAGGAGAGGAAGGUAGAAUUCCCGGUGUAGCGGUGAAAUGCGUAGAGAUCGGGAGGAAUACCAGUGGCGAAGGCGGCCUUCUGGACUGACACUGACGCUGAGGUGCGAAAGCGUGGGUAGCAAACAGGAUUAGAUACCGAGUAGUC
This 464-nucleotide ribosomal RNA is filed under the name Vreelandella stevensii. Its description in RNAcentral is "partial 16S ribosomal RNA". It matches the Rfam family "Bacterial small subunit ribosomal RNA", at positions 338 to 795 of the family's 1533-position model. The record is from RNAcentral. Lineage: Bacteria; Pseudomonadati; Pseudomonadota; Gammaproteobacteria; Oceanospirillales; Halomonadaceae.